This 234-nucleotide long non-coding RNA is filed under the name Linum usitatissimum (flax). Its description in RNAcentral is "long non-coding RNA (LUSI_LNC000403)". Lineage: Eukaryota; Viridiplantae; Streptophyta; Magnoliopsida; Malpighiales; Linaceae. The record is from RNAcentral.
CCUCAGACCUCACAGAAACAACAUCAGAAGCAGCAGCAGCAGCCUUGUUGCUGCUUUGAUCAAGCCCAUCAGCCUUCUUUGGCUCACCAUUCUUGUACGGCACCAACUAAAACCCUUCAGCGUCGACCAUCGGAGCAGCUUUCUCGACCUUCGGAGAAGCUUUCUUAACGACUGGUCCUCGGGAGUUGCUCCUCCUUCCACCACCAUUGUUGUACAUCCCAUUACGAUUGCCGU